GGUCUUGUCGUACAAUGGAUAGUACGUGAGCCUCCGGAGCUCAAGAUCCAGGUUCGAUUCCUGGCAGGACCA
Molecule: transfer RNA, 72 nt
Filed under: Dinghuibacter silviterrae
Lineage: Bacteria; Pseudomonadati; Bacteroidota; Chitinophagia; Chitinophagales; Chitinophagaceae
Rfam family: tRNA
About the family: Transfer RNA (tRNA) molecules are approximately 80 nucleotides in length. Their secondary structure includes four short double-helical elements and three loops (D, anti-codon, and T loops).
Source: Rfam by way of RNAcentral